UGAAGAGUGUUGUGUGUUUUUAAAAGAGUCAGGUAUUCUGUUCCCAUUCCAGUGGGAUUCAAACAUAGUAUCCUGUCAGAAUCCCAGCCUAAAGCUUUGACUGAGGUCUUUCAGCCCCAAGAUGUUUGUCUGUCUGUUUUUGCCAUAAUUUCCAAGCCUUUUGACCAUUACAAAGAUAUUUAAGGGAGCUCUGGAAAUCUGUUUUUUAUGGUUCCAUAAUUUAAUGAAGAAGAGGGAUGCCUUAUUGCCACUGCUAAUGCAGAAGGUGCAGGCACACAAGGUACUGCUGUCUGAGCUUGUCCUUUCUCACAAUGCAGUCAAUCCCACAUGAGUCUCAAAUCAACCAGAAAUGAGGGUUCACUCUUUCAGCUGCCGGUGAUACCACUGAUUCCCUGCUACAGCACGUUUGGCUUCAGCUCUGAGAGGGCUGGGCUAUGUGUUAAGAGGGUCUGCAGUCUGUUUUUUUAUUCUAGAUACUAGCUCUAUGGUUUCUUCUUCCGGCUGCAGGCACCAGAUAAUUCAAAGGUCUUUAGAAAUCAGACCCCAUUUUUGAGUUGUGUCAGUAAUAUAAUGGUCUGUUUAAAAGCAGUAUAUGUGUCUGAGGCAGUGUAGUCUCCAUAGAGAGCUGGAAGCAAAAGCAUGCUUGGUAAAUGUAACCUGGUGCUCAGUUGAGUGUAUUCAUUUCAGGAAAGGAGGUAUUUCAAUGAAUAUCUUGCACAUCUUAAAGUAACACCAUGAUUCUAUGCUAAGUGUUCACUAUUUUGUUUCUAAUUAGUAGUAGUACCUUCUUAGAAUAGAAAUAAAAAUUCCUGACCUACUGGAUUUAUUGCUAUCAAUUUAGGUAGGUUGCAUACUGUUCUUUCUGGAGCCAGUAGUGCUAAACAGGAAGAUCUUAUUCAUGUUUCUUCAGGAUAUUGUAAACAGAUAUGUAAAUACUUAUAAAGCUAUAAAUUACUCUUACCUGUAUAACCACAGUUCAUCUUGGGAUUAGUCUGGAGAAACAAAAGUGUAAAGCACACAUCUCUGAUUCAUCUGCCAAAUAUGUUGGUAAAGCCAUCCAUUUGUUGUGAAAUUCUUCUGGUUACGUGGUUCAGCUUGUACAUGCAGUUUCCUCAUCUGUGCACACACUUAUCAGAUCUGUGUGGACAAAACAGAUGUUUGCACAGUCUUUACGGAGAGUUCAUCUGUAUGUUUUCCUUAUUGCUAUGAUCAAAAUGUCAAGACGGACAGUCAACUUUUCACGUGUACACACUGUUCCAGGGUUUGACAACAUUAUCAGUGGGAGCAUAUAAUCAUCUGCACCAUCAUGUUUUGUUUUCUGUAGGCUUCUGCGUAGUGUAGCCCUUAGGUAUAUCUUCUUCAGUGCACAUCUGUUAAGUAUGUAAAAGUCAAGUAUGUGGCCAUGUUCUCUACACUGUGUUUUCUAAUUCAGACUCCCAGACUAAGCCUGUAACAACAAGCUGUAUUCUGUCUCCUGAUAGAACAAAAGCCACUAUUUGCUGCAAAUACAUUUGUUUGUCUUUACUGAAGGUGGUGAACUUGCGGCCAACGUGAAAAUUAUCUCACCACUGAAAGAACUCUGUGAAUUCAAAACUCUCAUGAUGUGUGUUUUAGCUGGAAUGACAAGUGGAAAGAACGCAAUGAGCUUAAACACCUGGUAGAUGGUGGUUCUUCAAAUAAUAUGAAGGUUAUGUAUGCUGUGCUCCAAGCUGUCAGUUUUGACCUGAACUUUGAAGAAUUUUUCAGAACUCCAUAUAACAUGAAAGUCUGUUAUUUCAGUUUGUUCCUCCAGGUCUGCACUCUUCCAUCCCAGAUUCAUCCUUCUGUACUAAUCUUUUCUGUUAGGAGGGACACCUUGUUCAUAUCUCCUCCUCCUCACUCCCCUACUCCAGCCUCCUCCACUGCCCUUGGCCUUAGAUCACAAAUCAUGUUUACAUAAGAAGUGUGUACUCUGAUCAUUUAUUCUGCUACUCAUGUCCCAUGUUUUCCUGAGAAGGCCUGCAUUUGUGUCCCUCACCUUCCACUUCCUUGGUACCAUUACUUUGGAAAGUAAGAUGUUUGUGAGGAGAUGCAACUGUAAGCUCUAUUGGGAAGAUGGAAUGGGAAAUUAUGAGGGAGUGAUACUGUUAUUUCAGAAAGUGUUAAUGAAUGCUGUCAGCCAAACCCUUGACUUAAGAGAGAGGGUGGGAGCAACAAGCAAGUGAUGAAGGCUCGAUGUGUUCUCCAUUACUGUCAUUCUCAUUUUCCUUAGCUGAGAGCAUCUGGAAUAGUCUCCAACACUUUUAACUGAGUAAAUGCAGCAUUCCCAAGCUGUUGUGUGACAGACAAACAGAUGAACCUACAAAGAAAUGCCAUGAAGUUGACUGCGUGGAUUCACAAGCUCAUUCAAUUAUUCACAACUAGAAAAAUAAUGUUACAUAAAUGGUCAAGAUUUUUUGAGGGAAGAACCUGGUAGGAAAGACACCAAAGACUAAAUUUGCAUUGCAUCCCAUGGAUUCACUACAUUUUUCCCACUACAAAAUGCAAACUAGACAUUGGCUAUGAAUGUAGAGGCUGCUCACUUCUUACAGUGAAAAAGAAAGCCAGAAUUUUGCAACCCAAACAGGAAACACAAUGAGCCAGGGAGAAGAAUGGAGCAUGCUUAUCUGGUUGUUUCAGAGUCUUCUGGGAGGAAGGAACGGGCGAGCAGAUCAAGAGAUCCAUUCCAGCUUGGGCCAUCUAAGGAUUUGACCUUUGGAUUCCUGUCUGUGUUAGAGUGCCUGCUGCCACUGCUGUCCUAGCACUUUGCCACUGCCUUUGUUGCAAGGAGCUGAGUAACAUCAUGAUCUGUGCGACUGAUGCUCAGCGAUUUGGAAGCUUCAUUCUAUGAAUUGUGGUUAAUAACAUCACUAUAGCAUCACAUCUAUAUGGAAGGGACAGCAUUGUUGUUUUAUGCAAUUUUAGUUAACAGUCCUCAAAUUCAGAUCCUACUUGAACACAAAGUGAAAAAUAAUCAUGUGCUUUGCUAGCUGGUCCUGGUCCUGUGGGUAACUGCUGGAUUUUCUGACACCAUCGAGUGCUUGAUUUGCAUCUUCUUUUAUGUGGUACCACAAAACCGUCCGUAGGCCUAUGUGGUAAGGAUUCUUCAUAGAAGAGAAAUGUUCAUUUGGCCAUUUACAUAAGUUUUCAGUUUGUGCUGGUUUAUCAGAAGUGAUAGUACUGGGGGUCUGGAAUAUGGGUUCUCG
Long non-coding RNA from Lagopus muta (rock ptarmigan), 3224 nucleotides. RefSeq lists it as uncharacterized. The transcript has 5 exons. Lineage: Eukaryota; Metazoa; Chordata; Aves; Galliformes; Phasianidae. The record is from RefSeq and is a predicted model, not a curated record.